UCCCUAUAAUGUAAUAUUCUCAAA
Molecule: small nuclear RNA, 24 nt
Filed under: Arabidopsis thaliana (thale cress)
Lineage: Eukaryota; Viridiplantae; Streptophyta; Magnoliopsida; Brassicales; Brassicaceae
Description: snRNA_15557
Source: RNAcentral